This 498-nucleotide ribosomal RNA is filed under the name uncultured bacterium. Its description in RNAcentral is "partial 16S ribosomal RNA". It matches the Rfam family "Bacterial small subunit ribosomal RNA", at positions 28 to 507 of the family's 1533-position model. The record is from RNAcentral.
GACGAACGCUGGCGGCGUGCCUAAUACAUGCAAGUCGAACGAGAGCAACCGGUGCUUGCACUGGUCAAACUAGUGGCGAACGGGGGAGUAACACGUGGGUAACCUGCACAUCAGAGGGGGAGAAAACCCGGAAACGGAUGCUAAAACCGCAUAGGUCUUCAAACCGCAGGGUUGGAAGAGGAAAAGAGGCGCAAGUUUAUGCGGAUGGAUGGACCCGCGGUGCAUUAGCUAGUUGGUGAGGUAACGGCUGACCAAGGCCGGGAUGCGUAGCCGACCUGAGAUGGUGAUCGGCCAGAUUGGGACUGAGACACGGCCCACACUCCUUCGGGAGGCAGCAGUAGGGAAUCUUCCGCAAUGGACGCAAGUCUGACGGAGCAACGCCGCGUGAUUGAAGAAGGUUUUCGGAUCGUAAAACUCUGUUGUUAGAGAAGAACAAGUGCUAGAGUAACUGUUGGCGCCUUGACGGUAUCUAACCAAAAAGCCACGGCUAACUACGUG